This 428-nucleotide ribosomal RNA is filed under the name Bacteroidota bacterium. RNAcentral describes it as "Bacteroidetes bacterium partial 16S ribosomal RNA". It matches the Rfam family "Bacterial small subunit ribosomal RNA", at positions 355 to 776 of the family's 1533-position model. Lineage: Bacteria; Pseudomonadati; Bacteroidota. The record is from RNAcentral.
UAGGGAAUCUUCCGCAAUGGACGCAAGUCUGACGGAGCAACGCCGCGUGAGUGAAGAAGGAUUUCGGUUCGUAAAACUCUGUUGUUAGAGAAGAACAGCGCAUAGAGUAACUGUAUGCGUGUGACGGUAUCUAACCAGAAAGCCACCGCUAACUAAGUGCCAGCAGCCGCGGUAAUACGUAGGUGGCAAGCGUUGUCCGGAUUUAUUGGGCGUAAAGCGAGCGCAGGCGGUCAAUUAAGUCUGAUGUGAAAGCCCCCGGCUCAACCGGGGAGGGUCAUUGGAAACUGGUUGACUUGAGUGCAGAAGAGGAGAGUGGAAUUCCAUGUGUAGCGGUGAAAUGCGUAGAUAUAUGGAGGAACACCAGUGGCGAAGGCGACUCUCUGGUCUGUAACUGACGCUGAGGCUCGAAAGCGUGGGUAGCAAACAGG